This 797-nucleotide ribosomal RNA is filed under the name uncultured bacterium. Its description in RNAcentral is "bacterial SSU rRNA". It matches the Rfam family "Bacterial small subunit ribosomal RNA", at positions 595 to 1397 of the family's 1533-position model. The record is from RNAcentral.
UGAAAGCCUGCAGCUAACUGCAGAACUGCCAUUGAUACUGAUAGUCUUGAGUUGGUUAAGGUAGGCGGAAUGUGUAAUGUAGCGGUGAAAUGCUUAGAUAUUACACAGAACACCAAUUGCGUAGGCAGCUUACUGAGCCGACACUGACGCUGAGGCACGAAAGCGUGGGGAUCGAACAGGAUUAGAUACCCUGGUAGUCCACGCCGUAAACGAUGAUUACUCGCUGUUGGCGAUACACUGUCAGCGGCUAAGCAAAAGCAAUAAGUAAUCCACCUGGGGAGUACGGCCGCAAGGUUGAAACUCAAAGGAAUUGACGGGGGCCCGCACAAGCGGAGGAACAUGUGGUUUAAUUCGAUGAUACGCGAGGAACCUUACCUGGGCUUAAAUGUAGAGUGCAUUUUCUAGAGAUAGGAAUUCCCUUCGGGGCUUUCUGCAAGGUGCUGCAUGGUUGUCGUCAGCUCGUGCCGUGAGGUGUCGGGUUAAGUCCCAUAACGAGCGCAACCCUUAUCGUUAGUUGCCAGCUGGUAAAGCAGGGGACUCUAGCGAAACUGCCACCGUAAGGUGAGAGGAAGGUGGGGAUGACGUCAAAUCAGCACGGCCCUUAUGUCCAGGGCUACACACGUGUUACAAUGGUCGGUACAGAGGGCAGCUACCUGGUGACAGGAUGCUAAUCUCCAAAACCGGUCUCAGUUCGGAUCGAAGUCUGCAACUCGACUUCGUGAAGCUGGAUUCGCUAGUAAUCGCGCAUCAGCCAUGGCGCGGUGAAUACGUUCCCGGGCCUUGUACACACCGCCCGU